This 2923-nucleotide ribosomal RNA is filed under the name Escherichia coli. RNAcentral describes it as "partial 23S ribosomal RNA". It matches the Rfam family "Bacterial large subunit ribosomal RNA". The record is from RNAcentral. Lineage: Bacteria; Pseudomonadati; Pseudomonadota; Gammaproteobacteria; Enterobacterales; Enterobacteriaceae.
UUGUGAGGUUAAGCGACUAAGCGUACACGGUGGAUGCCCUGGCAGUCAGAGGCGAUGAAGGACGUGCUAAUCUGCGAUAAGCGUCGGUGAGGUGAUAUGAACCGUUAUAACCGGCGAUUUCCGAAUGGGGAAACCCAGUGUGUUUCGACACACUAUCAUUAACUGAAUCCAUAGGUUAAUGAGGCGAACCGGGGGAACUGAAACAUCUAAGUACCCCGAGGAAAAGAAAUCAACCGAGAUUCCCCCAGUAGCGGCGAGCGAACGGGGAGGAGCCCAGAGCCUGAAUCAGUGUGUGUGUUAGUGGAAGCGUCUGGAAAGGCGCGCGAUACAGGGUGACAGCCCCGUACACAAAAAUGCACAUAUUGUGAGCUCGAUGAGUAGGGCGGGACACGUGGUAUCCUGUCUGAAUAUGGGGGGACCAUCCUCCAAGGCUAAAUACUCCUGACUGACCGAUAGUGAACCAGUACCGUGAGGGAAAGGCGAAAAGAACCCCGGCGAGGGGAGUGAAAAAGAACCUGAAACCGUGUACGUACAAGCAGUGGGAGCCUCUUAAUGGGGUGACUGCGUACCUUUUGUAUAAUGGGUCAGCGACUUAUAUUCUGUAGCAAGGUUAACCGAAUAGGGGAGCCGAAGGGAAACCGAGUCUUAACUGGGCGUUAAGUUGCAGGGUAUAGACCCGAAACCCGGUGAUCUAGCCAUGGGCAGGUUGAAGGUUGGGUAACACUAACUGGAGGACCGAACCGACUAAUGUUGAAAAAUUAGCGGAUGACUUGUGGCUGGGGGUGAAAGGCCAAUCAAACCGGGAGAUAGCUGGUUCUCCCCGAAAGCUAUUUAGGUAGCGCCUCGUGAAUUCAUCUCCGGGGGUAGAGCACUGUUUCGGCAAGGGGGUCAUCCCGACUUACCAACCCGAUGCAAACUGCGAAUACCGGAGAAUGUUAUCACGGGAGACACACGGCGGGUGCUAACGUCCGUCGUGAAGAGGGAAACAACCCAGACCGCCAGCUAAGGUCCCAAAGUCAUGGUUAAGUGGGAAACGAUGUGGGAAGGCCCAGACAGCCAGGAUGUUGGCUUAGAAGCAGCCAUCAUUUAAAGAAAGCGUAAUAGCUCACUGGUCGAGUCGGCCUGCGCGGAAGAUGUAACGGGGCUAAACCAUGCACCGAAGCUGCGGCAGCGACGCUUAUGCGUUGUUGGGUAGGGGAGCGUUCUGUAAGCCUGUGAAGGUGUGCUGUGAGGCAUGCUGGAGGUAUCAGAAGUGCGAAUGCUGACAUAAGUAACGAUAAAGCGGGUGAAAAGCCCGCUCGCCGGAAGACCAAGGGUUCCUGUCCAACGUUAAUCGGGGCAGGGUGAGUCGACCCCUAAGGCGAGGCCGAAAGGCGUAGUCGAUGGGAAACAGGUUAAUAUUCCUGUACUUGGUGUUACUGCGAAGGGGGGACGGAGAAGGCUAUGUUGGCCGGGCGACGGUUGUCCCGGUUUAAGCGUGUAGGCUGGUUUUCCAGGCAAAUCCGGAAAACCAAGGCUGAGGCGUGAUGACGAGGCACUACGGUGCUGAAGCAACAAAUGCCCUGCUUCCAGGAAAAGCCUCUAAGCAUCAGGUAACAUCAAAUCGUACCCCAAACCGACACAGGUGGUCAGGUAGAGAAUACCAAGGCGCUUGAGAGAACUCGGGUGAAGGAACUAGGCAAAAUGGUGCCGUAACUUCGGGAGAAGGCACGCUGAUAUGUAGGUGAAGCGACUUGCUCGUGGAGCUGAAAUCAGUCGAAGAUACCAGCUGGCUGCAACUGUUUAUUAAAAACACAGCACUGUGCAAACACGAAAGUGGACGUAUACGGUGUGACGCCUGCCCGGUGCCGGAAGGUUAAUUGAUGGGGUUAGCGGUAACGCGAAGCUCUUGAUCGAAGCCCCGGUAAACGGCGGCCGUAACUAUAACGGUCCUAAGGUAGCGAAAUUCCUUGUCGGGUAAGUUCCGACCUGCACGAAUGGCGUAAUGAUGGCCAGGCUGUCUCCACCCGAGACUCAGUGAAAUUGAACUCGCUGUGAAGAUGCAGUGUACCCGCGGCAAGACGGAAAGACCCCGUGAACCUUUACUAUAGCUUGACACUGAACAUUGAGCCUUGAUGUGUAGGAUAGGUGGGAGGCUUUGAAGUGUGGACGCCAGUCUGCAUGGAGCCGACCUUGAAAUACCACCCUUUAAUGUUUGAUGUUCUAACGUGGGCCCCUAAUCGGGGUUGCGGACAGUGUCUGGUGGGUAGUUUGACUGGGGCGGUCUCCUCCUAAAGAGUAACGGAGGAGCACGAAGGUUGGCUAAUCCUGGUCGGACAUCAGGAGGUUAGUGCAAUGGCAUAAGCCAGCUUGACUGCGAGCGUGACGGCGCGAGCAGGUGCGAAAGCAGGUCAUAGUGAUCCGGUGGUUCUGAAUGGAAGGGCCAUCGCUCAACGGAUAAAAGGUACUCCGGGGAUAACAGGCUGAUACCGCCCAAGAGUUCAUAUCGACGGCGGUGUUUGGCACCUCGAUGUCGGCUCAUCACAUCCUGGGGCUGAAGUAGGUCCCAAGGGUAUGGCUGUUCGCCAUUUAAAGUGGUACGCGAGCUGGGUUUAGAACGUCGUGAGACAGUUCGGUCCCUAUCUGCCGUGGGCGCUGGAGAACUGAGGGGGGCUGCUCCUAGUACGAGAGGACCGGAGUGGACGCAUCACUGGUGUUCGGGUUGUCAUGCCAAUGGCACUGCCCGGUAGCUAAAUGCGGAAGAGAUAAGUGCUGAAAGCAUCUAAGCACGAAACUUGCCCCGAGAUGAGUUCUCCCUGAGACUUAGAGUCUCCUGAAGGAACGUUGAAGACGACGACGUUGAUAGGCCGGGUGUGUAAGCGCAGCGAUGCGUUGAGCUAACCGGUACUAAUGAACCGUGAGGCUUAACCUUACAACGCCGAAG